This is a regulatory RNA element of Dialister succinatiphilus YIT 11850, 106 nucleotides long. It matches the Rfam family "SAM riboswitch aptamer (S box leader)". Rfam says of the family: The SAM riboswitch is found upstream of a number of genes which code for proteins involved in methionine or cysteine biosynthesis in Gram-positive bacteria. The SAM riboswitch acts at the level of transcription termination control. The predicted structure consists of a complex stem-loop region followed by a single stem loop terminator region. The record is from Rfam. Lineage: Bacteria; Bacillati; Bacillota; Negativicutes; Veillonellales; Veillonellaceae.
GACUCAUCAAGAGCAGCUGAGGGAUUUGGCCCGGGGACGCUGCAGCAACCAUUCCUGAAAAAGGAACCGGUGCUAAUUCCAUCAGCAUAUUGCUGGCAGAUGAGAG